CUAAUCCUUUGUAUCGACUCAUCUUCUUUCUCACGCUUCAAUAUUCUCUGCAAACCCUAGAAACUAAAGUUGUUCUUCCUGUUCUUCCUGUUGCUUUCUUAAUUCUAUUCAAUCAGAACUCAUUCGUCUAUAACUUCUCCCUCUAAACCCUAUCUGUGCAUACGCAUUUUCUUCAGCAAAGCAACAAUGGUGUCUCAAGUUAGCUUUUUAAGAUUGGUUAUGUAGAUUUGAUGUCGCAAUUUCAUCUGAAAGUAGUGUUUUGAACAUUUUCAACUCCUUCGGCUGCCGUCUCUAAGGAUCAAAACCCUAUUUUCAACUCCUCAUUGAAUAAAAAAAUUCAAGUAUAAUCAUCAUCUUCUUUCAUUCGGAAUGUUCUGCAAAUGCAAGAGGAUUUGAACUUAUACUCUUCCAGUCUAUCGAUAAUUGUUUUUGGUUUCAUUGGAGAGAAAGAAACAAUAACUACUUCAAAUGGCGUCGUGUGCUUCUGCGCCAGUGAUGGAUGAUUGAAAGCUAUGCUUCCUGAUGAUUUGCCAUUGUUCUGCGACAACGUUUGCUCACUUAGAUGCUACAAUUGUGCUUUCUAAACAGGGCUUUAAAUCGAACUUGAGAAGUUCCAGAGUACUUAUGGCAUCCAUGGCUGCUUUAAAAGGGUACAAUAUGGUGACAUACGCUCCUUUGAAAAAAAAACACCCGACACUUCCAUGAUUCAACUGUUUUCAAACACUGCAAACACUAAGGUGCAUUUUGAGCUGAUAGGACGGUACAGCUAGCAGAGGCACUGUAUCUGGCGUUGGACAGUAUCUUAAGUUAAAAAAACAUAAUGUUAACAUUUAUGGGCUCGAUCCCGAAGAAGGCGAUAUACUAAAUGGAGGCAAACCCGACAAUUUAGAUGUGUACGGCAGUGACGAAUGUGGCAAAAUACAUUUCAUCACCUAUUAUUAGUGGCAAAAUUCGUGAGAGGGCACUUUAAAGUUGUAAAAAAAGAAAACAAAUAUUGGACAAGAAAGGAGACGUAAUGAAUUAGCUGUUGACGAAGGGGGUUAAGAACGUGUUAUUAUCGACUUGCUUAGACUUUGAUUGAAGGUAUGGAUCCAAGCAUAGAUGUUUGGAUUAGAGCCCUAAAUCCAACCCGAAUAUAUUGCAGUCUAACGAGAGAUCUGGGCAUUUCAAAUAAGUGAGACAGCCAAGAGUAAGACAACCACAAAUAUCUUCUUUCGUACCUUUUUUAUGAAUUCUUUUUAAUUCCCCGUCACUGGAUGAUAUUGCAUUUAACUUUAUUUGUUUAUUUAAUUUUUGUAACAACGUCAUGAAGGAACCAACUUCGGGCGUACUACAAGUGGCCUGUUUAUUGCUACAAGCUAUGACUAUCAUGCUUCUCCUGAUGAAUAUAGUAUGUGAUAAGCAGAGAAAAUUGCUACCAUUUAAAUGGUACAGCCUAUGUAUAUUGUUCAACCAUUGUUUACAUCAUUUAAAUGGUCCGACCCGCGAAGUUCGCGGGUGAUAUUGUUCAUUCGAUAAUUUUUUUAUAACUCUUCAUCAAUCUGAAGAACAGGUAUGUUUUUAUGAUUUCUUCGUUUUAUCAUACAUUCUAAUAUUUCUUCAUGUUCUUGAUACCAAAGUUGAAAACAAGAUUGUUGCUACUUUCUUGAAACACCCUUUUGGUAAAUUCACCCUUUUGUUCUCUCAUGGUAACGCUGCUGAUUUGGGUCAGAUGCAAGAGCUUUUUAUUGAGCUUAGAGCUCAUCUUAGACUCAAUAUCAUGAGGGAUGAAGAGGUCUGGAGACGAUCAUGUUUCCGAGGGUGAUUUUCAUCUUACGCUGCCGAUUAUCUCUGAAUUGAGUAUAGUCAUGGCUCUAACAACGGGUUGACCAUUGCUAUUGAUUUUUGCGGUUUUGGACUUUAUAUGAAGUAUUUAUUCAAUUCCGGACUUGAUGAUGUUGGAGAACCAAAAGCACAAGUGGUUGCUAAACGAGUCAUAGAAAGAGUUACAGGAACCCCAACUACAAGGAUGAAGACGGUGGCGAGUAAUGUAGUGAAGAAACGAGUCUUUGAAUUGUUUACACCUUUCAAUUGUAUGUAAACAUUUUUUUUUCAUUUAACAAUCCCAUAAAUAAUCGAUUAGAUGGUAAAAAGCUAUUGUUGAGGGCAUAAAUAAUGAACAAAUCUCACGGCAAGUAACAAUUUUGUAAUCAUGUAUACAACAUACUAAAGUAAUUAUUGAUGAUUUAGGGACAA
RNA transcript from Helianthus annuus (common sunflower), 2235 nucleotides. RefSeq lists it as uncharacterized. The record is from RefSeq and is a predicted model, not a curated record. The transcript is spliced from 15 exons. NCBI's taxonomy places the organism in Eukaryota, Viridiplantae, Streptophyta, Magnoliopsida, Asterales, Asteraceae.